CCUACGGGGGGCAGCAGUGAGGAAUAUUGGUCAAUGGCCGAAAGCCUGAACCAGCCACGCCGCGUGAGGGAUGACGGCUCUCGGAGUUUUAACCCCCUUUGUUAGGGGAGAUAAUGACGGUAUCUAACGCGUAAGCACAGGCUCACUCCGUGACAGCAGCCGCGGUAAUACGGCGGGGGCCGGCGUUACGCGGAAUCACUGGGCGUAAGGGGCGAGUAGGCGGGAUAACAAGUCAGAUGUGAAAUCCCAUGGCUUAACCAUAGAACUGCAUUUGAAACUGUUAGUCUAGAGUAUGGGAGAGGUAGGCGGAAUGCUUGGUGUAGGGGUAAAAUGCGUAGAGAUCAAGAGGAAUACUCAUUGCGAAGGCGGCCUGCUAGAACAUAACUGACGCUGAGGCGCGAAAGCGUGGGGAGCAAACAGGAUUAGAUACCCUUGUAGUC
Molecule: ribosomal RNA, 440 nt
Filed under: uncultured bacterium
Lineage: Bacteria
Description: partial 16S ribosomal RNA
Rfam family: Bacterial small subunit ribosomal RNA
Source: RNAcentral